UACGUAGGGUGCUAGCGUUGUCCGGAAUCAUUGGGCGUGAAGCGCGUGUAGGCGGUCCGGUAAGUCCGCUGUGAAAGUCGGGGGCUCAACCCUCGAAUGCCGGUGGAUACUGUCGGGCUAGAGUGCGGAAGAGGCGAGUGGAAUUCCUGGUGUAGCGGUGAAAUGCGCAGAUAUCAGGAGGAACACCAAUUGCGAAGGCAGCUCGCUGGGACGUAACUGACGCUGAGACGCGAAAGCGUGGGGAGCAAACAGG
RNAcentral lists this ribosomal RNA (253 nucleotides) under uncultured bacterium. Its description in RNAcentral is "partial 16S ribosomal RNA". It matches the Rfam family "Bacterial small subunit ribosomal RNA", at positions 524 to 776 of the family's 1533-position model. The record is from RNAcentral.